Molecule: long non-coding RNA, 282 nt
Filed under: Brassica rapa (field mustard)
Lineage: Eukaryota; Viridiplantae; Streptophyta; Magnoliopsida; Brassicales; Brassicaceae
Description: long non-coding RNA (BRAP_LNC001678)
Source: RNAcentral
CCCUGUAAAAUAAACAUUCAAACAUUAAUAAACUAAUUUAUAACUAAUACAAUAAUUAAGCUCAUAGAUUAGAUUAGGCUAACCAGUUCCUAGCUAACCCUUUGAUUUUUUCGACUAAAAUAAUAAAUAGAGAAGUAGUUUUUUUUUUUUUUGUAACACUAAUAGAGAAGUAGUUAUAUUUAAUCUUUUGUUGCUUCCAUCACCAACCGUAUCAAUUAAUAUAUUUGAGACUAAUAAGAACGCUUCAAAAAUGGAUUUGAUUAGGAUCGUAUAAACUCACCC